This 23-nucleotide non-coding RNA is filed under the name Arabidopsis thaliana (thale cress). The record is from RNAcentral. Lineage: Eukaryota; Viridiplantae; Streptophyta; Magnoliopsida; Brassicales; Brassicaceae.
UCUGCUUCAUCUGACCCUGGGUU